This 256-nucleotide ribosomal RNA is filed under the name uncultured bacterium. RNAcentral describes it as "partial 16S ribosomal RNA". It matches the Rfam family "Bacterial small subunit ribosomal RNA", at positions 524 to 776 of the family's 1533-position model. The record is from RNAcentral.
UACGUAGGGUGCGAGCGUUGUCCGGAAUUAUUGGGCGUAAAGAGCUCGUAGGCGGUGUGUCGCGUCGGUCGUGAAAAACUCGGGGGCUUAACCCCCGGGCCUGCAGUGGGUACGGGCAGACUAGAGUGCGGUAGGGGAGACUGGAAUUCCUGGUGUAGCGGUGAAAUGCGCAGAUAUCAGGAGGAACACCGGUGGCGAAGGCGGGUCUCUGGGCCGUAACUGACGCUGAGGAGCGAAAGCGUGGGGAGCGAACAGG